Non-coding RNA from Triangularia setosa, 94 nucleotides. The record is from the annotation of a GenBank genome assembly. NCBI's taxonomy places the organism in Eukaryota, Fungi, Ascomycota, Sordariomycetes, Sordariales, Podosporaceae.
GCCCGAUUAGCUCAGCUGGUUAGAGCGUCGUACUAAUACUGGAAACAGUACUAAGUAAAUGCGAAGGUCAACAGUUCAAUCCUGUUAUUGGGCA